RNAcentral lists this ribosomal RNA (252 nucleotides) under uncultured bacterium. RNAcentral describes it as "partial 16S ribosomal RNA". It matches the Rfam family "Bacterial small subunit ribosomal RNA", at positions 524 to 776 of the family's 1533-position model. The record is from RNAcentral.
UACGUAGGGGGCAAGCGUUGUCCGGAAUUAUUGGGCGUAAAGCGCGCGCAGGCGGUUCUUUAAGUCUGGUGUUUAAACCCGAGGCUCAACUUCGGGUCGCACUGGAAACUGGGGGACUUGAGUGCAGAAGAGGAGAGUGGAAUUCCUGGUGUAGCGGUGAAAUGCGCAGAUAUCAGGAAGAACACCCGUGGCUAAGGCGGCUCUCUAGUACGGUACUGACGCUGAGACGCGAAAGCGUGGGGAGCGAACAGG